Molecule: non-coding RNA, 71 nt
Organism: Parelaphostrongylus tenuis
Lineage: Eukaryota; Metazoa; Nematoda; Chromadorea; Rhabditida; Metastrongylidae
Source: the annotation of a GenBank genome assembly
CUCAAUAGUGCAGUGGUUAGCACGCAUCGCCUAGAAGGGAUUAGACACGGGUUCAACUCCCGUUAGAGAGU